GACGAACGCUGGCGGCGUGCUUAACACAUGCAAGUCGAACGGAAAGGCCCUGCUUUUGUGGGGUGCUCGAGUGGCGAACGGGUGAGUAACACGUGAGUAACCUGCCCUUGACUUUGGGAUAACUUCAGGAAACUGGGGCUAAUACCGGAUAGGAGCUCCUGCUGCAUGGUGGGGGUUGGAAAGUUUCGGCGGUUGGGGAUGGACUCGCGGCUUAUCAGCUUGUUGGUGGGGUAGUGGCUUACCAAGGCUUUGACGGGUAGCCGGCCUGAGAGGGUGACCGGCCACAUUGGGACUGAGAUACGGCCCAGACUGCUACGGGAGGCAGCAGUGGGGAAUAUUGCACAAUGGGCGGAAGCCUGAUGCAGCAACGCCGCGUGCGGGAUGAAGGCCUUCGGGUUGUAAACCGCUUUCGCCUGUGACGAAGCGUGAGUGACGGUAAUGAGUAAAGAAGCACCGGCUAACUACGUG
RNAcentral lists this ribosomal RNA (468 nucleotides) under uncultured bacterium. RNAcentral's name for it is "partial 16S ribosomal RNA". It matches the Rfam family "Bacterial small subunit ribosomal RNA", at positions 28 to 507 of the family's 1533-position model. The record is from RNAcentral.